CUAAAAUAGGGAUGGCUUCAUGAUUGCUGUCUGUAACCCCACAGGAAUGAGGUCAUUAAUUUCAACAUUGUUUAGGGGAAGGAUGCUUUAUAUCUGGUGACUAGCUUAGGUAGGGACAAGCAAAGUAAAAUUAGAAAUUGUAAUUAAAAAAACACAAAAUGCAUAAUUUAUUUCUUCAAUGUUAUACUUUAUUCUUUUUAAAUCUUAGUACCUGACAAAUAGUUCUUUUUCUCCCCUCCCUCAGCUUUCAGUGCCAAUUAAAGAAAACAUCCCAGGAUGUGUAUUAUUGUGUUCUAAUUAUAGUUGAGGGUACAGUGGCAUGUGAUUGUGGUAUAAUAACUAAGCCCUGGAGUGUCUUUUAUUCCAUUAAAAAUGACCUUAGCCUUGGAUCACAGAGCUUUGCAUUGAUUUGUCUUUUUUGUGGUUUCCUCUCCACAGGUCUGCUUCCUCAACCAGGAUGAUGCAUUGAAUUGUGACACACAGAGAAAUUAACUAUCUUUCCCAUGAGAAAUAAUUUAUCAUUCAGCAUUUGCUAUUAAUGUGCCUCUGCUGCAAGUGAAUGAAGCCAUAUAAAGUGUAUGGAAACUAUGCAGUAGAUGAACACUGCGUAAAUAUCCUUUAAUGUUUAUUAUGGGCACAAUAAUUUUAUCAUCAGUAAAUGGGAGGGAUUUGGGCUGCAGAAAAAGAGAUGUUGAUAAGUUUUGUUGCUAUAAAAAAUGGCUGCAAUAUCUUCAAUAGAUGCAAUACCUCUUUAGGUCUAAUACAAAUUUUGUUUUUUGCCUGUUUCAAUGAGGUCCUUUAAAACUUAUAAUUACUACUGGAUCUGAUUGUGUCUGCAGAAAGACUUCCCAGCCUUCUUUAGAACUGAGGAGGUACCUCAGUUCUCAGCCUAGACAAUAUUAACACAUUAUCUCUGGACUGUAUUUCUAUUUGAGAAACAAGAACUAGAAGGGACAAGGUUCAGGGCCUUUCAUGGGAUUUUAUUGUUUGGAAUCCAACAAAAACAUAGUUGAGAUGAGGUCUUGGAAGGUGGCUUGUCAAGAUGUAUGUCUGCACCAUUUUACUCUUACAACUAUGCCUAUGCACACAGUUUACCACAGAGGAAGUAUUGGUGAGCAUAAGAGUGGGCAGCACAAUGGAAGCCCUCCUGAGUGCAGGACCUGCCACUUGUCCAGGGAGCCAUGACUGGGGAUGUAUUUGACCCCACGGCCACAGUAAGGAAAACAGUCUGGUCCCUGGGCCUUGCAACACGGAUUGAAACGGCAACAUUUCACAGAGAUGUCAAAACAGGAAGAACUUCUGGCAUAAUUAGCACUGAUAAUAGCAUAAAAAAAUACUAGCUAGUCUUUCUAAUGAAGAAUCCUGUUAAAGGACAAUCCAUAUCAAGUUUGAUUGUAAGACUGAUGAUGUAGGUCUGUCUGACCAUAUUUGCUGCUUGCAUAUUAAAUUUCCUAAGCUCAUUAAUCUGUAACUGUGAAUGGAGUUUUUUUUUUUUUUUCACUGAGACAGAGUUUCGCCCUUGUUACAGGCUGGAGUGCAAUGGUGCGAUCUCGGCUCACCUCAACCUCCACCUCCUGGGUUCAGGCAAUUCUCCUGCCUCAGCCUCCUGAGUAGCUGGGAUUACAGGCACGCGCCACCAUGCCCAGCUAAUGUUUUGUAUUUUUAGUAGAGACGGGGUUUCACCAUGUUGACCAGGAUGGUCUUGAUCUCUUGACCUCGUGAUCCACCCGCCUCAGCCUCCCAAAGUGCUGGGAUUACAAGCGUUAGCCACGGUGCCUGGCCUGGAGUUAUUUUUUAUGUGGUCAGAUGCUUCAAAUAAACACACCUAUCAAUGAAAUCUUAGGCUAUUACACUUAUAGGAUAUUCAACAGUAGAGUAGUGAUGCUUUAUAUCAUGUCCAUAGGUGAGAAUGUAGCCCCUAUAAAAGAUCCUCUGUGUUGCUACAGUAUCUUUUUAAACUUAGCUGUUUGGUGCUGAUCAUUUAAAUGCACUCACACAGAUGUAAAAGUAAACAGUGUGGUCAGAAGAAAAUGGUUUUGCCCACGAUGAAGGCAACUGAAUCUACCUUUAACUUUCCUAUAACUAGCUGUGUAAAUAUAGGGAAGAUCAUCUAGCCUUUCUUCAUCUUUAAACUUAGAACUUCAUGCUGAUCAGAACAGUUUUAAAGAUAAAUGAGACAAUAUAGAAGAAAACAGAUUGAAAAGUUUAAAACUAUAAAAGCUAAUCUGUUGAUUACAAAUAUUAUACAAAUAAUACGUUGGAUGGUUCCUAGAUUGUCCUGUGUGACUUUAGGAUGUUGUCAGUCUUCCACAUGUUCUGAGUAACG
Callithrix jacchus (white-tufted-ear marmoset) is the source of this 2326-nucleotide long non-coding RNA. The record is from Ensembl. NCBI's taxonomy places the organism in Eukaryota, Metazoa, Chordata, Mammalia, Primates, Cebidae.